This 863-nucleotide ribosomal RNA is filed under the name uncultured bacterium. RNAcentral's name for it is "bacterial SSU rRNA". It matches the Rfam family "Bacterial small subunit ribosomal RNA", at positions 26 to 868 of the family's 1533-position model. The record is from RNAcentral.
AGAACGAACGUUGGCGGCGUGGAUGAGGCAUGCAAGUCGAACGUGAAAGCCGCAAGGUGAGUAGCGUGGCGGACGGGCGAGUAACACGUAAUCAAGCUGCCUGCGAGACGGGGAUAACCUCGGGAAACCGAGGCUAAGACCCGAUGGUCUGCCGGGGACGCAUGUUCCUGGUAGUAAAUGGGCGGGAUCCUUCGGGAUCGCCUGCUCGCAGAGGUGAUUGCGGCCCAUCAGCUAGUUGGUAGGGUAAUGGCCUACCAAGGCAACGACGGGUAGCCGGCCUUAGAGGGUGGUCGGCCGCACUGGGACUGAGACACUGCCCAGACUCCUACGGGAGGCUGCAGUCGAGAAUCUUCCGCAAUGGGCGAAAGCCUGACGGAGCGACGCCGCGUGGAGGACGAAGGCCUUCGGGUUGUAAACCGCUUUUGUCAGGGAAGAAACGCUCUGGGCUAAUACCCCGGGGUAAUGACGGUACCUGAAGAAUAAGCACCUGCUAACCACGUGCCAGCAGCCGCGGUAAGACGUGGGGUGCAAGCGUUGUCCGGAGUGACUGGGCGUAAAGGGCGUGUAGGUGGUGUGGUAAGUCUCUUUUGAAAUCCCAUGGCUCAACCAUGGUUUGGGAGGAGAAACUAUCACGCUAGACGGCACAAGGGGCUGACAGAAUUCCCGGUGAAGGGGUUAAAUCCGUUGAUAUCGGGAGGAAUACCAGUGGCGAAGGCGGUCAGCUAGUGUGCUCGUGACACUGAGGCGCGAAAGUCUGGGUAGCGAAAGGGAUUAGAUACCCCUGUAGUCCAGACUGUAAACGAUGCAUUCUAGGUAUUGGGAGUAUCGACCCUCCCUGUACCGUAGCUAACGCGUUAAGAAUG